This 72-nucleotide transfer RNA is filed under the name Margattea speciosa. RNAcentral's name for it is "tRNA-Lys". Lineage: Eukaryota; Metazoa; Arthropoda; Insecta; Blattodea; Pseudophyllodromiidae. The record is from RNAcentral.
UAUUGGAUGACUGAAAGCAAGUGAUGGUCUCUUAAACCACAAUAUAGUAAAUUAGCAAAUUACUUCCAAUAA